UAGUGGAUGUGUGGACCGAG
Molecule: non-coding RNA, 20 nt
Filed under: Arabidopsis thaliana (thale cress)
Lineage: Eukaryota; Viridiplantae; Streptophyta; Magnoliopsida; Brassicales; Brassicaceae
Source: RNAcentral